UACGAAGGGGGCUAGCGUUGCUCGGAAUUACUGGGCGUAAAGCGCACGUAGGCGGCUAUUCAAGUCAGAGGUGAAAGCCCGGGGCUCAACCCCGGAACUGCCUUUGAAACUAGGUAGCUAGAAUCUUGGAGAGGUCAGUGGAAUUCCGAGUGUAGAGGUGAAAUUCGUAGAUAUUCGGAAGAACACCAGUGGCGAAGGCGACUCGCUGGACAGGUAUUGACGCUGAGGUGCGAAAGCGUGGGGAGCAAACAGG
Molecule: ribosomal RNA, 253 nt
Filed under: uncultured bacterium
Lineage: Bacteria
Description: partial 16S ribosomal RNA
Rfam family: Bacterial small subunit ribosomal RNA
Source: RNAcentral